Molecule: ribosomal RNA, 253 nt
Filed under: uncultured bacterium
Lineage: Bacteria
Description: partial 16S ribosomal RNA
Rfam family: Bacterial small subunit ribosomal RNA
Source: RNAcentral
UACGGAAUGUGCAAACGUUAUUCGGAAUCACUGGGCUUAAAGAGUCCGUAGGCGGCAUGUUAGGUGAGGUGUGAAAUCCCCCGGCUCAACCGAGGAAUUGCGCUUCAAACCGGCGUGCUUGAGGAAGAUAGAGGUGGGCGGAACUGAUGGUGGAGCGGUGAAAUGCGUUGAUAUCAUCAGGAACACCGGAGGCGAAGGCGGCCCACUGGGUCUUUUCUGACGCUGAGACGCGAAAGCGUGGGGAGCGAACAGG